RNAcentral lists this ribosomal RNA (483 nucleotides) under uncultured bacterium. Its description in RNAcentral is "partial 16S ribosomal RNA". It matches the Rfam family "Bacterial small subunit ribosomal RNA", at positions 28 to 523 of the family's 1533-position model. The record is from RNAcentral.
GACGAACGCUGGCGGCGUGCUUAACACAUGCAAGUCGAACGAUGAUGCCCAGCUUGCUGGGUGGAUUAGUGGCGAACGGGUGAGUAACACGUGAGUAACCUGCCCCUGACUCUGGGAUAAGCGUUGGAAACGACGUCUAAUACUGGAUAUGACUACCGGCCGCAUGGUCUGGUGGUGGAAAGAUUUUUUGGUUGGGGAUGGACUCGCGGCCUAUCAGCUUGUUGGUGAGGUAAUGGCUCACCAAGGCGACGACGGGUAGCCGGCCUGAGAGGGUGACCGGCCGCACUGGGACUGAGACACGGCCCAGACUCCUGCGGGAGGCAGCAGUGGGGAAUAUUGCACAAUGGGCGAAAGCCUGAUGCAGCAACGCCGCGUGAGGGAUGACGGCCUUCGGGUUGUAAACCUCUUUUAGUAGGGAAGAAGCGAAAGUGACGGUACCUGCAGAAAAAGCACCGGCUAACUACGUGCCAGCCGCCGCGGUAA